RNAcentral lists this transfer RNA (61 nucleotides) under Climacostomum virens. It matches the Rfam family "tRNA", at positions 8 to 63 of the family's 71-position model. From Rfam's summary of the family: Transfer RNA (tRNA) molecules are approximately 80 nucleotides in length. Lineage: Eukaryota; Ciliophora; Heterotrichea; Heterotrichida; Climacostomidae. The record is from RNAcentral.
CCGUAGCUCAGCCGGCAGAGCGUUAGGCUGUUAACCUAAAGGUCCCUGGUUCGAUCCCAGG